Molecule: ribosomal RNA, 492 nt
Filed under: uncultured bacterium
Lineage: Bacteria
Description: partial 16S ribosomal RNA
Rfam family: Bacterial small subunit ribosomal RNA
Source: RNAcentral
AGUGAACGCUGGCGGCAUGCCUAAUACAUGCAAGUCGAACGGCAGCACAGUAAGCUCUCGCUCUUACGGGUAGCGAGGGGCGGAUGGGUGAGGCAUACAUAGGAAACCACUUAUACGGGGGUGACAACGGAGGAAAACUGAUGCUAAUACCGCAUACGACCAACCGGUGAAAUCAGGGGAGCUUCGGACCUUGGGCGACUGAAUGAGCCGGUGCCGGAUUAGCUAGUUGGCGUGGUAAAGGCCCACCAAGGCGACGAUGCGUAGCUGGUCUGAGAGGAUGAUCGGCCACACUGGAACUGAGACACGGUCCAGACUCCUACGGGAGGCAGCAGUAGGGAAUAUUGCACAAUGGGCGAAAGCCUGAUCGAGCCAUGCCGCGUGAGUGAUGAAGGCCUUCGGAUUGUAAAGCCCUGUUGUUAGGAAAGAACAGCUGCGGGUGAAUCCCCCGCCGUUUUGACGGUACCCAAAGAGUAAGCCACGGCUAACUUCGUG